GACGAAGGGGGGCUAGCGUUGCUCGGAAUUACUGGGCGUAAAGCGCGUGUAGGCGGCUGUUCAAGUUGGGCGUGAAAGCCUUGGGCUUAACCCAAGAAAUGCGCUCAAUACUGGAUAGCUAGAGGACCGGAGAGGAUAGUGGAAUUCCCAGUGUAGUGGUGAAAAUACGUAGAGAUUGGGAAGAACACCAGUGGCGAAGGCGGCUAUCUGGACGGUUUCUGACGCUAAGACGCGAAAGCGUGGGGAGCAAACAGG
This 255-nucleotide ribosomal RNA is filed under the name uncultured bacterium. Its description in RNAcentral is "partial 16S ribosomal RNA". It matches the Rfam family "Bacterial small subunit ribosomal RNA", at positions 524 to 776 of the family's 1533-position model. The record is from RNAcentral.